GAUGAACGCUGGCGGCGUGCCUAAUACAUGCAAGUCGAGCGAACGGACGAGAAGCUUGCUUCUCUGAUGUUAGCGGCGGACGGGUGAGUAACACGUGGAUAACCUACCUAUAAGACUGGGAUAACUUCGGGAAACCGGAGCUAAUACCGGAUAAUAUUUUGAACCGCAUGGUUCAAAAGUGAAAGACGGUCUUGCUGUCACUUAUAGAUGGAUCCGCGCUGCAUUAGCUAGUUGGUAAGGUAACGGCUUACCAAGGCAACGAUGCAUAGCCGACCUGAGAGGGUCAUCGGCCACACUGUAACUGAGACACGGUCCAGACUCCUACGGGAGGCAGCAGUAGGGAAUCUUCCGCAAUGGGCGAAAGCCUGACGGAGCAACGCCGCGUGAGUGAUGAAGGUCUUCGGAUCGUAAAACUCUGUUAGUAGUGAAGAACAUAUGUGUAAGUAACUGUGCACAUCUUGACGGUACCUAAUCAGAAAGCCACGGCUAACUACGUG
Molecule: ribosomal RNA, 497 nt
Filed under: uncultured bacterium
Lineage: Bacteria
Description: partial 16S ribosomal RNA
Rfam family: Bacterial small subunit ribosomal RNA
Source: RNAcentral